UGUAAUCUCACCCAUUUUAAACCCUAAUUCAUUUCCUCUCUCCUCCAAAUCUCUCUGCCUCUCUCUCUUCAAAAUCUCUCUGCCCCUCUCUCUCUUCAAAAUCUCUCUCCUCCAUUUUCGCCGGCAUCAACGAAGGUGAAGGUGCAGCAACGAAUUUUUUGUGCUCAAUUCAGGUUUUGUUGCGUUGGUGGUGGUGGCUGCGAUGUUGGAGGAUUUCAAGCGGUUGACGGUGGAGCAGCGCUUCGACUAGUGGUUGUUUGGUCGUUGUUGUUGCUCUUCUACUCUGCUGCUGCUGCCACCGUUUCUUCGCGUGGUGGCCGUUCUCGGUGGUGGCGGAGAAGUGUUUAUGGUUUCGAAUGCGAUGGCGAUUCUUCGUCUAGAAACUAGGAGGCGGAGAAGAGGCGGUGGUCCAUAUAGAAGCGGUGAAGGAAGGAGUGGAAGGAUAAGAGUCGGCGAUCUCAUACAGAAUUAGAGGGCGAAAGAAAGAGAGGAAGAAGUCGUCGGCUCCUCACCGUCUUCGUCGGCUCCUCGCCGUCUUCGUCGUCGCCAUCAACUUCCGAUAGGUGUUGCCAGAAAUUAAACGUGGUGGUGGUUUCUUAGUACUCUGCUCCUCCACUCUGCUUAUGCGAUUGUUCCUUGUUCAGUGGCUCAGUGCUGCUGGUGGUCGUCACUGGCGUUGAUUUUGAUUAAUUUCAUUUUAGUUUCUUUUAGUUAAAGAUUAUUUCGUUUUAGUUAGAAUUAUUGUUUUUAAGUUACACUUUUGUUACAUAUAGUUAUUAAAUAAAAUGGUUUGUUUAUAUU
Molecule: long non-coding RNA, 801 nt
Organism: Spinacia oleracea (spinach)
Lineage: Eukaryota; Viridiplantae; Streptophyta; Magnoliopsida; Caryophyllales; Amaranthaceae
Exons: 2
Source: RefSeq, a predicted model, not a curated record